UUCAGAGCCAACUGGUGUCCAUAUCCCUUUACUCCUGAAUGAUGUGAUUUAUGGAACCUUUGCUCUAGCGCCAUCUUGUGAUCAUUUUUUUUCCUGCAGUUUAUGGAGUGAAUUGAGGCGCGGCACAGUCCGGAACUGAUCAGUGCAAGGGAGCCGAUAUCCCGGUGGUGGAUUUCAAGUUUUAGGAGGGGCACGGGUAACCGCCAAAGCCACCGGGGAGAAUGAAAAAAUUGCCAAGGAGGAAAAAGACCAAAGGAAAAUGCCAGUAAGAAGCAGAAGAAAAGAGAUAAAGCAGAAGGGAUGGAAUUGAGAUCAUAAUACAGAAGAAGACAAGACAUUUCCCGGGACACUCUCAUGCUUUUCAGUGCAGAGAAAAUCGGGACUUCGGGUUGCAGUUUGAAAGAGGGACUGUCCUG
Xenopus laevis (African clawed frog) is the source of this 416-nucleotide long non-coding RNA. RefSeq lists it as uncharacterized. The transcript has 4 exons. Lineage: Eukaryota; Metazoa; Chordata; Amphibia; Anura; Pipidae. The record is from RefSeq and is a predicted model, not a curated record.